ACAAAAAUGCAUAUGUUGUGAGUUCGAUGAGUAGGGCGGGACACGUGACAUCCUGUCUGAAUAUGGGGGGACCAUCCUCCAAGGCUAAAUACUCCUGACUGACCGAUAGUGAACCAGUACCGUGAGGGAAAGGCGAAAAGAACCCCGGCGAGGGGAGUGAAAUAGAACCUGAAACCGUGUACGUACAAGCAGUGGGAGCACCUUCGUGGUGUGACUGCGUACCUUUUGUAUAAUGGGUCAGCGACUUAUAUUUUGUAGCAAGGUUAACCGAAUAGGGGAGCCGUAGGGAAACCGAGUCUUAACUGGGCGAAUAGUUGCAAGGUAUAGACCCGAAACCCGGUGAUCUAGCCAUGGGCAGGUUGAAGGUUGGGUAACACUAACUGGAGGACCGAACCGACUAAUGUUGAAAAAUUAGCGGAUGACUUGUGGCUGGGGGUGAAAGGCCAAUCAAACCGGGAGAUAGCUGGUUCUCCCCGAAAGCUAUUUAGGUAGCGCCUCGUGAACUCAUCUUCGGGGGUAGAGCACUGUUUCGGCUAGGGGGUCAUCCCGACUUACCAAACCGAUGCAAACUCCGAAUACCGAAGAAUGUUAUCACGGGAGACACACGGCGGGUGCUAACGUCCGUCGUGAAGAGGGAAACAACCCAGACCGCCAGCUAAGGUCCCAAAGUCAUGGUUAAGUGGGAAACGAUGUGGGAAGGCAUAGACAGCCAGGAUGUUGGCUUAGAAGCAGCCAUCAUUUAAAGAAAGCGUAAUAGCUCACUGGUCGAGUCGGCCUGCGCGGAAGAUGUAACGGGGCUAAACCAUGCACCGAAGCUGCGGCAGCGACGCUUAGGCGUUGUUGGGUAGGGGAGCGUUCUGUAAGCCGUUGAAGGUGACCUGUGAGGGUUGCUGGAGGUAUCAGAAGUGCGAAUGCUGACAUAAGUAACGAUAAUGCGGGUGAAAAACCCGCACGCCGGAAGACCAAGGGUUCCUGUCCAACGUUAAUCGGGGCAGGGUGAGUCGACCCCUAAGGCGAGGCUGAAAAGCGUAGUCGAUGGGAAACAGGUUAAUAUUCCUGUACUUGGUGUUACUGCGAAGGGGGGACGGAGAAGGCUAGGCUAGCCGGGCGACGGUUGUCCC
Molecule: ribosomal RNA, 1121 nt
Filed under: Yersinia enterocolitica
Lineage: Bacteria; Pseudomonadati; Pseudomonadota; Gammaproteobacteria; Enterobacterales; Yersiniaceae
Description: partial 23S ribosomal RNA
Rfam family: Bacterial large subunit ribosomal RNA
Source: RNAcentral